CGAGAUAAAUGGCAAACGGGGUGUAAGCCCCGGACGCAAAGCUGCAGGCCCUAACCGGAAGUCCAGGAGGGUGGCUGGGUUGCCUCG
This 87-nucleotide non-coding RNA is filed under the name Candidatus Accumulibacter. RNAcentral's name for it is "c-di-GMP sequence". It matches the Rfam family "c-di-GMP-I riboswitch aptamer". Rfam says of the family: GEMM was predicted in a large-scale screen for bacterial structured RNA regulatory elements. Lineage: Bacteria; Pseudomonadati; Pseudomonadota; Betaproteobacteria. RNAcentral also lists the same sequence under 1 other name. The record is from RNAcentral.